Molecule: ribosomal RNA, 483 nt
Filed under: uncultured bacterium
Lineage: Bacteria
Description: bacterial SSU rRNA
Rfam family: Bacterial small subunit ribosomal RNA
Source: RNAcentral
UGAACGCUAGCGGCAGGCUUAACACAUGCAAGUCGAGGGGUAACAGGAUUUAGUUUACUAGAUUGCUGACGACCGGCGCACGGGUGAGUAACGCGUAUACAAUUUGCCUUUUACUGAAGAAUAGCCCAGAGAAAUUUGGAUUAAUGCUUCAUAGUAUUAAUUGGUCACCUGGCCGAUUAAUUAAAGCUCCGGCGGUAAAAGAUGAGUAUGCGUCCUAUUAGCUAGAUGGUAAGGUAACGGCUUACCAUGGCGACGAUAGGUAGGGGUCCUGAGAGGGAGAUCCCCCACACUGGUACUGAGACACGGACCAGACUCCUACGGGAGGCAGCAGUGAGGAAUAUUGGGCAAUGGAGGCAACUCUGACCCAGCCAUGCCGCGUGCAGGAAGACUGCCCUAUGGGUUGUAAACUGCUUUUAUACAGGAAGAAACUUAUCCACGUGUGGAUAACUGACGGUACUGUAAGAAUAAGGACCGGCUAACUCC